AUUGAACGCUGGCGGCAUGCUUUACACAUGCAAGUCGAGCGGCAGCGCGGGGGCAACCCUGGCGGCGAGCGGCGAACGGGUGAGGAAUACAUCGGAACGUGUCCCGUAGUGGGGGAUAGCUCGGCGAAAGCCGGAUUAAUACCGCAUAUGCUCUACGGAGGAAAGCCGGGGAUCUGUUACAGGACCUGGCGCUAUGGGAGCGGCCGAUGUCCGAUUAGCUAGUUGGUGAGGUAAAGGCUCACCAAGGCGACGAUCGGUAGCUGGUCUGAGAGGAUGAUCAGCCACACUGGGACUGAGACACGGCCCAGACUCCUACGGGAGGCAGCAGUGGGAAUUUUGGACAAUGGGGGCAACCCUGAUCCAGCCAUGCCGCGUGCGGGAAGAAGGCCUGG
Molecule: ribosomal RNA, 392 nt
Filed under: uncultured bacterium
Lineage: Bacteria
Description: bacterial SSU rRNA
Rfam family: Bacterial small subunit ribosomal RNA
Source: RNAcentral